UACAGAGGUCUCAAGCGUUGUUCGGAUUCAUUGGGCGUAAAGGGUGCGUAGGCGGCGCGGUAAGUCGGGUGUGAAAUCUCGGAGCUUAACUCCGAAACUGCAUUCGAUACUGCCGUGCUUGAGGACUGGAGAGGAGACUGGAAUUUACGGUGUAGCGGUGAAAUGCGUAGAUAUCGUAAGGAAGACCAGUGGCGAAGGCGGGUCUCUGGACAUUACCUGACGCUGAGGAGCGAAAGUGUGGGGAGCGAACAGG
RNAcentral lists this ribosomal RNA (253 nucleotides) under uncultured bacterium. RNAcentral describes it as "partial 16S ribosomal RNA". It matches the Rfam family "Bacterial small subunit ribosomal RNA", at positions 524 to 776 of the family's 1533-position model. The record is from RNAcentral.